UAUGGAAGGACCAAGAGGUAUUCGGGGCAACCCUCAAAUUGCAUCCAUAUGGAAAAUGAUACCUAUAUGUCUAUGGUGGUGCAUUUGGAGGGAGAGGAAUGUAAGAAGCUUUGAAGAUCAAGAGCGAUCGAUGGAAGAGCUUAGAAAU
Molecule: long non-coding RNA, 148 nt
Organism: Juglans microcarpa x Juglans regia
Lineage: Eukaryota; Viridiplantae; Streptophyta; Magnoliopsida; Fagales; Juglandaceae
Exons: 3
Source: RefSeq, a predicted model, not a curated record